AUUGAACGCUGGCGGCAGGCCUAACACAUGCAAGUCGAACGAGGCGCGGACGGGCGAGUAAUGUCUGGGACACUGCCUGAUGGAGGGGGAUAACUACUGGAAACGGUAGCUAAUACCGCAUUCCCUCGGAUGUUCCCAGAUGGGAGUAGCUUGUAGUUGGGGUAACGGCUCACCUCGGCGACGAUCCCUAGCUGGUCUGAGAGGAUGACCAGCCACACUGGAACUGAGACACGGUCCAGACGCCUACGGGAGGCAGCAGUGGGGAAUAUGGGACAAUGGGCGCAAGCCGGAUGCAGCCAUGCCGCGGGUAUGAAGAAGGCCUUCGGGUUGUAAAGUACUUUCAGCGGGGAGGCGUUACCCGCAGAAGAAGCACCGGCUAACUCCGUGCCAGCAGCCGCGGUAAUUC
RNAcentral lists this ribosomal RNA (406 nucleotides) under uncultured bacterium. Its description in RNAcentral is "partial 16S ribosomal RNA". It matches the Rfam family "Bacterial small subunit ribosomal RNA", at positions 30 to 526 of the family's 1533-position model. The record is from RNAcentral.